Molecule: RNase P RNA, 532 nt
Filed under: Candidatus Omnitrophota bacterium
Lineage: Bacteria; Pseudomonadati; Candidatus Omnitrophota
Description: RNase P RNA component class A
Rfam family: Bacterial RNase P class A
About the family: Ribonuclease P (RNase P) is a ubiquitous endoribonuclease, found in archaea, bacteria and eukarya as well as chloroplasts and mitochondria. Its best characterised activity is the generation of mature 5'-ends of tRNAs by cleaving the 5'-leader elements of precursor-tRNAs. Cellular RNase Ps are ribonucleoproteins.
Source: RNAcentral
GAAGCAGGCUAAGAUGGUUGCCCCGCUGUUUGAGAGCAUCGGGGAGGAAAGUCCGAGCUCCAGAGGAUAAUGCAUCCUGAUAAUCCAGGACGAUGAUGAUCUUGCCCUGAGGGUAAGUUAAAAUCGGAUUAGAGCUACAGUGACGAUACUUCGACUCGAUUCGACUUUGUCGAAUCUCGCUCAGUAUAAAUGUCCCAUUGGGAAGUUUACCCUGAGCGACGAACGGUAGUGAGGAGUCGAAGGGUGAAACGAGCAAUCUCUGCAUGGAGCAAGGCCAAAUAGGAGGAGAUUUCGGCAAUUUUGUCGAAAGCGAAGUGAUCCGCUUCGUUUGUUCUAUUUUACCAAAGUAUUUUUAUCUUUGGCUUUGAAGAACAGUUCUACGAAGUUCAAUAUGAAAACAAUUGAGCGUAGUAGAAUGUAUCCUCGGGUAGGCUGCAAGAGUUCGGGAUGUGAAUCCUGAAGUGAGUUGAAUAACCAUCACCCAAUUUCUUUUUUGGGGAGACAAAACUCGGCUUAUUAGUCUGCUUCAUGA